This 962-nucleotide long non-coding RNA is filed under the name Ananas comosus (pineapple). RNAcentral describes it as "long non-coding RNA (ACOM_LNC023525)". The record is from RNAcentral. Lineage: Eukaryota; Viridiplantae; Streptophyta; Magnoliopsida; Poales; Bromeliaceae.
CAUCCCAGCACGAGCAUAAAUUCAUCCUAUACUAAUCUGAGUAUCCACCGCGUACAAACUGCGACGAUACAAACAAACUACAACUCCUAAAGCUAAAUCUGGUAGUUUUCAGAAAAUGACAGUGUAGGGUUAAAUAGUUUUCUCCUAAGUGAGUUUCAAGUUCAACAUGUAUAAUUUAUCUAAAUCACUAGUUAUGCUCCAAAUUCAGAUUUCAAUUAACAUACACAUCAACGAAUUCGAGCUAUUAAAAUUGAUAUACGAAGCCAAAAAUACAUGCUGUUAAGCCUAGGAGGAAUACCGACGAUUUCGGUAAACUUCAAUCCACCUCAAAAAGAUAAUCCAACGACGGCGAGAAGUCGGAAGGAGAGGAAAUGUAAGGACUGAGAUUUUUACAGUGCAACUAAACUGUCUGUUGAUGAUGUUUAUGUGUGUAAUUUAAUUACAUAAGCACUCGUUAAAUUUCAGGAGAAAAUGAGCUAGAACGGAGAAGUUACGUGAUUAUUAGUUUUCACUUAAAGUGAAUAGUAACCCGAUUUUUUCGGAGAAGCUACAGAGUAGAGUUGGCUUUCGGCAUGUAUCGGACUCCGUUCAUAGCGAUCCAAUAGCUCGUUUCAAUCGGUUCAGCUAUUCUGGAACCAAUGGCACUAACGAAUUUUAGAUCUGAUGCACGGUUCUCGAGAAAAUCUGAAAAUACAUGUUUCUUAUGUAAUUGUGCAUCAUUUUGGCCUUUUGGAGAGAGAAUGGAUUUCGUCGUGAAUCGGAGAUCAAAUCGGACGAAACGAAAUGCUAGAUUCGAUGCCCUCGUCGUGCUGAACGCGAUGGUGCAAUCCGUUCAGAAAUCCGAUGAACGAAUUGUCGGAUAUUGCUUGAAGUUUGCUAAGGGGUCGAGAGUGGAAAAUCAGGAAAUUCGCAAGAGUCGUAAUAUUUUAUGUACCGAAUCAUGCGAAAUCAGAUGUGGAAGG